This is a long non-coding RNA of Suricata suricatta (meerkat), 1400 nucleotides long. RefSeq lists it as uncharacterized. The record is from RefSeq and is a predicted model, not a curated record. The transcript is spliced from 3 exons. NCBI's taxonomy places the organism in Eukaryota, Metazoa, Chordata, Mammalia, Carnivora, Herpestidae.
CAGGCUUCCGCUUUCUCCACGUCCUCGCCGGCAUCUGAAAAAAAGAGGCAGCCCACCGUUGGCAGUUAAAAGCUCACCGUCACAUCCCAGCCGAUUUGGUGGAGGAAAUCCUGCAGAGGGAGGCUUCUCCAUGUUCCAGGGCAUCCUCGCCGAUGGAGGUGAUCAGUCGGGCACUCCUGAGGUCCAGUGGUGCCGGCCCAUCAGCACAGCUUGCUUCACAAGACAAGAUCGGGUUGAGUCAUUGCCUUUGACAAAGGUAUCCCCGCACCUUGAAACGGGUAAAAUGGUGAAUUGUGUGUUGUGUGACUUUUAUUCCAAGUCAAAAUAGUUUGUAUCAAAGUGCACUUAAUGCUGUUCUACUCUUUCCUGUGUCAAUAAAAUGUUACUAGGUCCAUGCUUGCACCCAAAGAGACUUUUGUUUGCAAACUAAAGCAUCCUGGUGGAUGGAUCCUGUGUAACUUGUGUCUUUUCAUUUGAAAGAGAAUGAAAUUCUGAAUAUUAAAGUGUAAUGGUGUAUAUUCUAUACAUUCGAUACAUCUACCCAAAGUUUAAAGAUGCGUGUCAUUAAAUUCCGGCUAAAGGUGCGGAAAUCUUCAGGGCCCCACUAUCUAGAGAAAGGAAAAGAACCUCCCCUCCCCACCCACGUCUCCCCAAGAAAACAAGAGAGCGGCAGGAAACAAAAAUGCAAAAGUUCCUAACAGUAACCGAACAAGAAAAGGAGAACCACUCCAUGAAGCGGACUUGGAAAAGUGCCGGCUGGUAAGAAAAACAGAAGUUGGCGAGCAGCAUGGUGAGGUCACCCCUCCGCCUCCCAGAGCCUGCGUCUGCGAGAAGCGGACCCUCCUGCAUCCAGCCCAGGGCCGUGAAGGACAGAGGAGCCCAGAUGGUGAACCCGACCUUCAUUAAAGCCCGCCCCCCCUUCAUGCUCACAGACUACAGCAAAUUAGGCGUCAAAGGAAUAGGAAGCCGUGGAGCCGUGGCCUGGGAAGAAAGGGUCAGCCGCCCGAGUCCAGGAGCUGCGCCCCGCAGAGGCGCAGAGCCGGAAAGAAGUUCCGGGGAAACGCUGCCGAAUGAGGGCCAGGGGAUGGUCCUGAAGCAGCCACUGUGCUCAGAGAGUCAGAAUAAGAAGAAAAGGAUAAAGGACAAAGGAUCAGGAUGGCGUGGGUUCUCGAGGGAACACUUAAAGAAGAAAGUGACAGAACAAUGGCUUUAAAAUUGUAAACAGAAGUCAAGUCCGAGCCAGAAUUCUUUACAGUUCAAACCACCCAACUUGAGGGUAGAACCUCAGUGGGUAUGGAAGUUCUUUAAAACACCUGCUUCCAGGGCUCUGGGGGCGGGGGGCUCAUUCACUUAAGCGCCGACUUCGGCUCAGGUCAUGAUCUUAGGGUUUAUGAGUUCAA